Molecule: ribosomal RNA, 468 nt
Filed under: uncultured bacterium
Lineage: Bacteria
Description: partial 16S ribosomal RNA
Rfam family: Bacterial small subunit ribosomal RNA
Source: RNAcentral
GAUGAACGCUGGCGGCGUGCUUAACACAUGCAAGUCGAACGGAAAGGCCCUGCUUUUGUGGGGUGCUCGAGUGGCGAACGGGUGAGUAACACGUGAGUAACCUGCCCUUGACUUUGGGAUAACUUCAGGAAACUGGGGCUAAUACCGGAUAGGAGCUCCUGCUGCAUGGUGGGGGUUGGAAAGUUUCGGCGGUUGGGGAUGGACUCGCGGCUUAUCAGCUUGUUGGUGGGGUAGUGGCUUACCAAGGCUUUGACGGGUAGCCGGCCUGAGAGGGUGACCGGCCACAUUGGGACUGAGAUACGGCCCAGACUCGUACGGGAGGCAGCAGUGGGGAAUAUUGCACAAUAGGCGGAAGGCUGAUGCAGCAACGCCGCGUGCGGGAUGACGGCAUUCGGGUUGUAAACCACUUUCGCCUGUGACGAAGCGUGAGUGACGGUAAUGGGUAAAGAAGCACCGGCUAACUACGUG